CCUACGGGAGGCAGCAGUGGGGAAUAUUGGACAAUGGGCGCAAGCCUGAUCCAGCAAUGCCGCGUGAGUGAUGAAGGCCUUAGGGUCGUAAAGCUCUUUUACCAGGGAUGAUAAUGACAGUACCUGGAGAAUAAGCUCCGGCUAACUCCGUGCCAGCAGCCGCGGUAAUACGGAGGGAGCUAGCGUUGUUCGGAAUUACUGGGCGUAAAGCGUACGUAGGCGGUUAUUCAAGUCAGAGGUGAAAGCCCGGGGCUCAACCCCGGAACGGCCUUUGAAACUAGGUAGCUAGAAUCUUGGAGAGGUCAGUGGAAUUCCGAGUGUAGAGGUGAAAUUCGUAGAUAUUCGGAAGAACACCAGUGGCGAAGGCGACUGACUGGACAAGUAUUGACGCUGAGGUACGAAAGCGUGGGGAGCAAACAGGAUUAGAUACCCUGGUAGUCCACGCCGUAAACGAUGAUAACUAGCUGUCCGGGCACUUGGUGCCUGGGUGGCGCNGCUACGCAUAGUUAUCGUCCGUGGAGUACGGUCGCGAGAUAAACUACAANAGAUAGUAAGGUGUGAGAGUGCGAGACGACGACGAGGAGAGG
This 587-nucleotide ribosomal RNA is filed under the name uncultured bacterium. RNAcentral's name for it is "bacterial SSU rRNA". It matches the Rfam family "Bacterial small subunit ribosomal RNA", at positions 338 to 946 of the family's 1533-position model. The record is from RNAcentral.